UUCGGUGACCUAUCGGCUUCUAGGGUUUCUGGUGGUUUAACCUAGAGUUUUACUGCUAUCCGAGGCUCGAUUUUCACUCAGUGAAUGUUUUGGGUGCCUUUCCGACAUCCCUGACCACACUUCUAGUAAGGAUUUUGACGAUUACACCUAGGGUUUUGUACCUAGGGUUUUCUCUGUUGUUUGAAGGCCGAUCUUCUCCGGUCG
Molecule: long non-coding RNA, 204 nt
Filed under: Nicotiana benthamiana
Lineage: Eukaryota; Viridiplantae; Streptophyta; Magnoliopsida; Solanales; Solanaceae
Description: long non-coding RNA (NBEN_LNC000139)
Source: RNAcentral